AUGACCCCGACGGUGGCGGCGGCAGAGGCGGUCGGCGAGGAUGGCCGCUGGGGCGAGGAGGUGGAGCCGAUGACCCCGGCGGUGGCGGCGGCGGAGGGGUCCCAGGGGGCUCGAGGACCGACGUCUGAUGCGGUCGUGGUUCCUCGCCGUCAAGAACUAGAUCGAGCGCACGUCGGCGGUAGCCGUCCAGAGGAAGAGGAGGAGCACCCUGCGCCGGUUCGGCGGCCGUGGAACGGAGGAGAGGGAGAGAAAGGCCACCGGUGGCCCCAUGAAGGCUGA
This 279-nucleotide ribosomal RNA is filed under the name Triticum aestivum (bread wheat). RNAcentral describes it as "partial small subunit ribosomal RNA". The record is from RNAcentral. Lineage: Eukaryota; Viridiplantae; Streptophyta; Magnoliopsida; Poales; Poaceae.